AAUGUAGUUUUGGAGCUCUUGAGUUUGCGCAAAUUUUAGCAAGAGGAGGUGGUUGAUCUCACCAGUGCAGAGAAGGAGAUUUUUGGACGGCAUAGAUUGACCCACAGACUCGUAUGAUGCCUUUCUCUCUCUCUUCCCCAAAUUUUAUUGAUUUUAUCAAGGAGGAGAUGGACUGCGGCUUGUGGGUGUGUGUUUGGUGGGCUGCAGACAAGUGGUGCAGGUGUGUGGCAGAGACUUAGAAAGAAGAGAUGGAUUAUCGAUGUUUUGGGGAUAUGAAGGAAACAGGUAUGUUUGGAGGAGUUUGUUGUAAGUGGUGGACUUGCAUCUUUUAAUUUUUCUUUUUUGAUGACUGAUUAUUGGCUUUGAGUGGUAUAUUUUAUAAUCUCUGUAAUCCUUGUUGGUAUUUUCCAAUUUUGAGAGUUGUUGGAGGCUCUUUUGGUAACUGAAUUUCUGGGUUUUGGUUGGAAAUUCUUGCUUGCUUUGUGAAGUUUUCGAAUUUUGAGUUAUUGGGUAGUUUCAAUUGAUGGGUUUAUCAAUUCUGAAUUUUGAGUUGUUGGGUAGCUUUGUGAAGCUUCUGAAUUUUGAGUUGUUAGGUAGUUUUAAUUGAUGAGUUUAUUAGUUCUGAAUUUGAGUUGUUGGGUAGCUUUGUGAAGUUUCUGAAUUUUGAUUUGUUGGGUAGCUUUGUGAAGUUUCUGAACCAACAACAACAUUCUAGCCUUUAUCCAACACUUAAAAAUCAAAUAUCUUUGCUUGUAAAUAGGAAUAUAUUUGAGAAGAAACCCCUUUUUGGAGCCACUACAGAUUUGUACAUCUAGAAUUAAUUAUCAGAAGAACCUUGUUAGCCAACCUCCAUACAGGAGCUUCCCCACGCCAUCUCCCUUCGUUCCUAACAGAGGGUUAGAUAAUAAAGUCUGUUAGGUGUUGAAUUGAAUUAGAAAUUUGGUGGGUGUUGGAUCAAUAAAUGAAGCUUUUCCAUUUUGAGUAACAGACCUGGGAUUGAAUCAAAUGUAUGCUAAGAAAUCUUGAAAAGUAAGAUGGGUGUGUGGGUUUGUAUGUUUGUAGAGGUGUUGGUGAAUUGGUUCUCAACCUCAUCCAGUACUCACCAAUUAUAAGCAUUACUAGUUGCAACCUGGAAAUAAAUCAUACUACAUUACCCAUUAACUUCAAUUGGGUUUGUGGGUUUGUAUGUUUGUGCUUUUAUUCUCUUUUUUGAUGACUGGGUUUAAGAUGAACUCAGCUUUAAUGUUUGAUUGUUUUUCAAAAAAUAAAAAGGUAUCAAGAUUGCACACAAAGAUCAUAAAAGUUGAGAGAAAAAUCUGUAUGUGCAUUAUAUUGAAUUAAUUUAGUUACAAGAGGCUCUGUCCUUAUAGAUGAGAAUCAGAGGUAAGAAAGAGAAAGAAUGACAUCUAGUAACUAUAUCCACUAAUCUAGUAACUAACUUCAUCUAACCUUACAUGUCUUUUAGUGUCAUUACAGGAGAACAACCUGUAGUUUAGACAGAAUGUCUUCUUCUUCAUUCUGCAGUAACUUCAAUUCUGAAGCAGCUUCAAUUGUUGUUUUGUUCUAAACUUCUUUAGUUAAACUUCAACAAAAGGCUUUAAUGUUUGGUUGUAUUUAUGUCCUCUACUAAUUUGCCUAUCCUUGUGAUCCUUUUGCUGCUGUAUGUAAAGUUGAUUUGCCUAACUUCUUAUCAUAUUGCUGCUUUUUAUGUUAUUGUUAUUAAGGAAUGGAUUCGCAAAUGCAUGGUGAUUGUAACUUCACACAGCUCUUAGAAUAGGGGUCUAUCAUGAAAAUUGAAUUUAUGAUGGACUCUCCAAAAGAUGAAGUGCAUACCCAAUAGUCUCCACAUGAAGUUCAAAUGGAAUCCAUUACUAAGAAGACACAAUGGGGUGGUAAUUUUGGUCUAGAAGAAGACUGUCUCAUUGUGUCUGCAUGGCUCAAUACUCAUUAGAUGCAGUGCAAGGGAAUGAACAAAAACACAAAACAUAUUGGAAUAGAGUUUGGGAGUACUUCAAUAAAAAGACAUUUACAUCUACUCGUAAUGCAAACUCUCCAAUGAAUCGUUGGUCAACAAUUCAACUCCAAACUAAUAAGUUUGUUGGGAUCUUAGCAUCAAUUGAGAUGGUUAAUCCAAGUGGUGUGAAUGAGCAAAACAAGAUUAUUAAGGCAAAGGAAGCGUAUCUAAAGGUCCAAGCUGUUCCAUUCAAAUUUGAUCAUUGUUGGAAUAUCUUGAGGCAUCAACCAAAAUGGUUGGAACUUGUAGCAAAGCCUCAGAAGUCUCAAACGAUAAGAAGAUCAACUGCAACAUCUUCUCCUUCUACUCUUUAAUCAAUACAUCUAGGGGAAGAUGAGGUCUCCCAUGCUUCCUUUGUAGACUUGGAGAGACCACCUGGUAGGAAGGCUGAAAAGAAUGAUUAAAUAAAUGAAAAAGUAAUGAUAGUUUGAUUUUGAAUCUUGAAGGGAUACUGAAUGACAUGGCAGAAAAGAAGAGCAAAAAAUAUGAUGAGAAAAAUGAUGUUCAUGAGAGGGCAUAUUCACAAACUCAAGAACUCAUAGAGAUUAAGAAAAUGAAGCAUCAAGAACUGGUGGAGAUAAAGAAAAUGGAGGUUGAAGAGUUGAUUCGUGUUAAGAGAGAGAAGCUUCAAUUAGAAUGAAUGACGAAAGAAUUGGAAAUUACCAUGAUGGAUACUACAAACUUGGAUCCAGAGCAGCAACAAUGCAUUUGCCAACUUUGCCAAGAACUCAUUCAACAUCAAGAGAAGAGAAAUUGGGGAAUAUUGUUGCGAUGUAGCACACUAGUCAUAUAACCUUUUUGUGCAAGGAUUUUGUUGUUAAGGUGUUUCUAAACUUUUCAGAUUUUGUUGUAGAGGAGCAUGUGCACUAUUUGGUCCAUCCAGAUUUUUGUAAUCUCUCAUAUGUGAUUGGAGUUGUCUUUGUCUAUCUCUUAGCCUCUCUCUUAUUGUUUCUAUCUUGUCAUUACCUUGUUUAUUUUGGUAUUUAGUUAUGCUACUAUUAAGUAUAAAAAAUUAAACAAAUAAAAAACUUGUCAAACUUUGCAAGUUUUAUAAACUAA
This is a long non-coding RNA of Quercus lobata, 3073 nucleotides long. RefSeq lists it as uncharacterized. The record is from RefSeq and is a predicted model, not a curated record. Lineage: Eukaryota; Viridiplantae; Streptophyta; Magnoliopsida; Fagales; Fagaceae. The transcript has 2 exons.